RNAcentral lists this transfer RNA (74 nucleotides) under SAR202 cluster bacterium Io17-Chloro-G6. Its description in RNAcentral is "tRNA-Gly". It matches the Rfam family "tRNA". Rfam says of the family: Transfer RNA (tRNA) molecules are approximately 80 nucleotides in length. Their secondary structure includes four short double-helical elements and three loops (D, anti-codon, and T loops). Further hydrogen bonds mediate the characteristic L-shaped molecular structure. tRNAs have two regions of fundamental functional importance: the anti-codon, which is responsible for specific mRNA codon recognition, and the 3' end, to which the tRNAs corresponding amino acid is attached (by aminoacyl-tRNA synthetases). tRNAs cope with the degeneracy of the genetic code in two manners: having more than one tRNA (with a specific anti-codon) for a particular amino acid; and 'wobble' base-pairing, i.e. permitting non-standard base-pairing at the 3rd anti-codon position. Lineage: Bacteria; Bacillati; Chloroflexota; Dehalococcoidia. The record is from RNAcentral. RNAcentral also lists the same sequence under 1 other name.
GCGGGUGUAGCUCAGUGGUAGAGCUCCAGCCUUCCAAGCUGGUCAUGUGGGUUCGAUUCCCAUCACCCGCUCCA